UACGGGAGGCAGCAGUAAGGAAUAUUGGUCAAUGGACGCAAGUCUGAACCAGCCAUGCCGCGUGAAGGAUUAAGGUCCUCUGGAUUGUAAACUUCUUUUAUAUCGGGACGAAAAAAGGUCUUUCUAGACCCCUUGACGGUACCAUAUGAAUAAGCACCGGCUAACUCCGUGCCAGCAGCCGCGGUAAUA
RNAcentral lists this ribosomal RNA (189 nucleotides) under uncultured Bacteroidota bacterium. RNAcentral's name for it is "uncultured Bacteroidetes bacterium partial 16S ribosomal RNA". It matches the Rfam family "Bacterial small subunit ribosomal RNA", at positions 340 to 525 of the family's 1533-position model. Lineage: Bacteria; Pseudomonadati; Bacteroidota. The record is from RNAcentral.